RNAcentral lists this long non-coding RNA (679 nucleotides) under Mytilus galloprovincialis (Mediterranean mussel). The record is from RNAcentral. Lineage: Eukaryota; Metazoa; Mollusca; Bivalvia; Mytilida; Mytilidae.
UUUACAUUUUUAUUUGUAAAUAAUUUUAAAAAUAGAGGUAAAUGUGACUUCAAAAAUAAUUAGAAUAAUUAAAGUAUCUUGAUAGACAAUUUGUACUCAAGCUUAAGUUCUUUAAAAUUGUGUUAUUUACAAGACUAAAAAGAACAUAUUUUAAAGGAUACAUUACAAUUUGAAGUACAGUGGGGAUCUUGAAUCAGCAUGCAAAUACUGUUUAUAUAGAAUUACAAACCACAGAUCCCAAAACAGGAGAAGGGAACUUUCAUAACGUUGAUAGAAAUAAUCAUCUACUGAUUGGAGACGACCAAUGCUUAUUGUUAUGUUGGCAGUAUUGAAGGGACAGUACUGAAUACUAAUAUCAAAUAUUAAUUGGCACAAACAAUGAUAUAAAAGGUAAAACAUAAUGAGCAAGUCAAACAAAACUUAAAGGUGUAAAUGAAUGAAACCUGUAUAAGCUGUGAACAGAUGAAGUGUCUGUGCUGUAUUGUAUUGUGAAGUUCAAAGUACUCUUUGAACUACUUGCUGGUCGUACAUAUUUGUUGUCUUAAAAAUAAUAUCAAUUAAAAUCCGGACAAAUAGCGAAAACUGAAAAGUACCAUAGUUCAGGUACUAGUAGUUUGUAUAUAUAUUUGUAUAUCUACCAGGUUUAUUAUGUGUAAAUGUUUACGUUGAGAACCAGCAG